Molecule: ribosomal RNA, 1495 nt
Filed under: Brasilonema octagenarum UFV-OR1
Lineage: Bacteria; Bacillati; Cyanobacteriota; Cyanophyceae; Nostocales; Scytonemataceae
Description: bacterial SSU rRNA
Rfam family: Bacterial small subunit ribosomal RNA
Source: RNAcentral
AAAACGGAGAGUUUGAUCCUGGCUCAGGAUGAACGCUGGCGGUAUGCUUAACACAUGCAAGUCGAACGGAGUUCUUCGGAACUUAGUGGCGGACGGGUGAGUAACGCGUGAGAAUCUGGCUUCAGGUUCGGGACAACAGUCGGAAACGAUUGCUAAUACCGGAUGUGCCUAACGGUGAAAGAUUUAUCACCUGAAGAUGAGCUCGCGUCUGAUUAGCUAGUUGGUGUGGUAAGAGCGCACCAAGGCACCGAUCAGUAGCUGGUCUGAGAGGAUGACCAGCCACACUGGGACUGAGACACGGCCCAGACUCCUACGGGAGGCAGCAGUGGGGAAUUUUCCGCAAUGGGCGAAAGCCUGACGGAGCAAUACCGCGUGAGGGAGGAAGGCUCUUGGGUUGUAAACCUCUUUUCUCAGGGAAUAAGUACUGAAGGUACCUGAGGAAUCAGCAUCGGCUAACUCCGUGCCAGCAGCCGCGGUAAUACGGAGGAUGCAAGCGUUAUCCGGAAUGAUUGGGCGUAAAGCGUCCGCAGGUGGUUAUUCAAGUCUGCUGUCAAAGAAUCUGGCUCAACCAGAUAAAGGCAGUGGAAACUGAGUGACUAGAGUAUGGUAGGGGUAGAGGGAAUUCCUGGUGUAGCGGUGAAAUGCGUAGAGAUCAGGAAGAACACCGGUGGCGAAAGCGCUCUGCUGGACCAUAACUGACACUGAGGGACGAAAGCUAGGGGAGCGAAUGGGAUUAGAUACCCCAGUAGUCCUAGCCGUAAACGAUGGAUACUAGGCGUUGCCCGUAUCGACCCGGGCAGUGUCGUAGCCAACGCGUUAAGUAUCCCGCCUGGGGAGUACGCACGCAAGUGUGAAACUCAAAGGAAUUGACGGGGGCCCGCACAAGCGGUGGAGUAUGUGGUUUAAUUCGACGCAACGCGAAGAACCUUACCUGGGCUCGAAAAUGGUCGAACCUGCCUGAAAGGGCGGGGUGCCCGCAAGGGAGCGGCUAUCAGGUGCUGCAUGGCUGUCGUCAGCUCGUGUCGUGAGAUGUUGGGUUAAGUCCCGCAACGAGCGCAACCCUCGUUCUUAGUUGCCAGCAAUUCGGUUGGGCACUCUAGGGAGACUGCCGGUGACAAACCGGAGGAAGGUGGGGAUGACGUCAAGUCAGCAUGCCCCUUACGUCCUGGGCUACACACGUACUACAAUGCUGUGGACAAAGGGCAGCAAGCUAGCAAUAGCAAGCAAAUCCCAUAAACCACGGCUCAGUUCAGAUCGCAGGCUGCAACUCGCCUGCGUGAAGGAGGAAUCGCUAGUAAUUGCAGGUCAGCAUACUGCAGUGAAUUCGUUCCCGGGCCUUGUACACACCGCCCGUCACACCAUGGAAGCUGGUCACGCCCGAAGUCGUUACCCUAACCUUUCGAGGAGGGGGACGCCGAAGGUAGGACUGGUGACUGGGGUGAAGUCGUAACAAGGUAGCCGUACCGGAAGGUGUGGCUGGAUCACCUCCUUUUUA